Long non-coding RNA from Numida meleagris (helmeted guineafowl), 1439 nucleotides. RefSeq lists it as uncharacterized. NCBI's taxonomy places the organism in Eukaryota, Metazoa, Chordata, Aves, Galliformes, Numididae. The transcript is spliced from 7 exons. The record is from RefSeq and is a predicted model, not a curated record.
AGCUGCAGCUGUGGGGAGGCAGUGCCACUGGCCCAGCACAGCUGAGGCUGUUUGGUGGGAAGAAGGUGCUGGAAGGGGCCGGGUCAGUUGGUGUGGGAGCCAUUUCAGGAGCAGCAGAGAAGGCAUGCUUGAACUUAACAGAGGAAGGGGAGAAAUCUCACAGCUGUGCAGAGGACCUGCUGUAGCCUGGUUUCAUUUGGGAAUUGAAAGAACUGUUAAAUUGCUGGCUCUUUGUUACAUUUUCAGGAUAUGAAGAGAAAUAUUACUUUUGGCAGUAGGAAACGUUUAUGCACUGAGUCGGCUAGGCAAGCCAUUCCUGCCUGUGAUGUUGACAGCAAAACUGCUGAAUGUGGAUUGUCUGGGAUUUGAUCACCUUACAGAAAACUAUGUACAGGAAAAUACUUCACGAUUUUUGUCCUAGUUCAUAAUAUUUACAGCUUACAUACUUAAAAAUUACUUACCUGCAAAGUGAAAAAGUGACAUUGUCAUACUCAACCCUCAUCUAAAAAUAAAGCAUACAGUGUGGAAGGGACAAAUAUGAAAGCCCACUGACAGCCACAGCAGCAAUUCAUUCAUGGUGUAUAAGCCCAGAGGAUUGUGAGUUGAACAUGAAGGUUGCUCGCAAAGUCUUUAAUACUUGCCGCCACAAGAAUUGAGUUACCAAGCUAAAUGUUCCUUUGAUCAAAUUCAGUGCAAUAUGACUGCUUCCACAACCAAUAGCUGCAAUUACACAAAUGCUAUAGGCCCAAUCUUCUCUGCAGCCUUCCUUAUUACACCAAGUCUUCUAAUUUCCCAAAGCAUGGCAAGGCACAGUCAUUGCAUUUCGUGCAGGAAUCCUUCAUUUUUGUACAGUGCUAGCUGCUGAAAAUACAGGCACUGUGUCUUUCAACAGGGACUCAACUCAGGAAGUAGCCUGCAAAGCACGAGCAUUUGUUCUGUAUGCUGAAUUGAUCACUUUUAGCCUUUGUAUGGCCGCAUAUACCAGUGCAAAGUGAAGCAUUAUAAAGGCUCUCUAAACAUUAAAGCUCCUGGGCCUUUAUCUGUUCCAGUUACAGGUGAGGACAUGUGUACUGAUCCCACAGUGUUUACUGUUUAGUCUUUUAAUAUCUUACAGUUCCCCUGUUCUAGAGUGAUUGUACCCUUAGCAGGUUUUCAUGUUAAAGGUAUUUUGCAGUUAGGCCAUAAACAUUUUUUUUUAUAAUGCUUGCCUAAAGAUUUGACUGCUAAUAUACAGAAGGAUGUACUUGUAGUUCUAUACUUGAGUCUGACUGCUGAAGAUUUUAACUAGUUUGGUCUGAUUCAGUCUAUUUCUAAUGAAAUGAAAAGCUUUGAGUUGUGAAUGUUUGACACCUACUUAAUGAAUUAUGAAGUAUUACUUUAGCAGUGCAGUGAGUAUGUGCACGUCAUCUUUGACAACCAAGGUGCCAAAUAAAAGCCAG